Molecule: ribosomal RNA, 252 nt
Filed under: uncultured bacterium
Lineage: Bacteria
Description: partial 16S ribosomal RNA
Rfam family: Bacterial small subunit ribosomal RNA
Source: RNAcentral
UACGGAGGAUCCAAGCGUUAUCCGGAUUCAUUGGGUUUAAAGGGUGCGUAGGCGGAAUGAUAAGUCAGUGGUGAAAUCCUGCAGCUUAACUGCAGAACUGCCAUUGAUACUGUCAAUCUUGAGUAUAUUUGAUGUGGGCGGAAUGUGUCAUGUAGCGGUGAAAUGCUUAGAUAUGACACAGAACACCGAUUGCGAAGGCAGCUCACAAAACUAUAACUGACGCUGAGGCACGAAGCGUGGGUAUCAAACAGG